AUACGGAGGGAGCGAGCGUUAAUCGGAAUUACUGGGCGUAAAGCGCGCGUAGGCGGCUUUGUAAGUCGGAUGUGAAAGCCCUGGGCUCAACCUGGGAAUUGCAUUCGAUACUGCAUGGCUAGAGUAUGGUAGAGGGAAGUGGAAUUUCCGGUGUAGCGGUGAAAUGCGUAGAUAUCGGAAGGAACACCGGUGGCGAAGGCGACUUCCUGGGCCAAUACUGACGCUGAGGCGCGAAAGCGUGGGUAGCAAACAGGAUUAGAAACCCGGGUAGUCC
This 274-nucleotide ribosomal RNA is filed under the name uncultured bacterium. RNAcentral describes it as "partial 16S ribosomal RNA". It matches the Rfam family "Bacterial small subunit ribosomal RNA", at positions 523 to 796 of the family's 1533-position model. The record is from RNAcentral.